Molecule: ribosomal RNA, 253 nt
Filed under: uncultured bacterium
Lineage: Bacteria
Description: partial 16S ribosomal RNA
Rfam family: Bacterial small subunit ribosomal RNA
Source: RNAcentral
UACGUAGGUGGCAAGCGUUAUCCGGAUUUAUUGGGCGUAAAGAGAACGCAGGCGGUCUUUUAAGUCUGAUGUGAAAGCCUUCGGCUUAACCGGAGUAGUGCAUUGGAAACUGGGAGACUUGAGUGCAGAAGAGGAGAGUGGAACUCCAUGUGUAGCGGUGAAAUGCGUAGAUAUAUGGAAGAACACCAGUGGCGAAAGCGGCUCUCUGGUCUGUAACUGACGCUGAGGUUCGAAAGCGUGGGUAGCAAACAGG